RNAcentral lists this long non-coding RNA (310 nucleotides) under Mus musculus (house mouse). RNAcentral describes it as "long non-coding RNA chr9:118579603-118579913". The record is from RNAcentral. Lineage: Eukaryota; Metazoa; Chordata; Mammalia; Rodentia; Muridae.
GUGGUGAGUGGACAGCCAUGUUUGUAUCUUUGGUACAGAGAUCACGUGUAUUGUAUGCCAGCAACCAUUUUGCUGGGAUUAUUUUGUUCUUUUUAAUGGACAUGAUUAUGACAUUGGGUUCAUGUAGUUGCUUUCUGUUGAUUCUGUGAAAUAGACUGAUACAUGGACUAACAGCCACCAAGAAUGGCUGCAGAUUAUGAUGGAGAGAUGAAGGAUACUUGUGGGUGCAAGUGAGGAUGUGCUGUGCUGUGCUUCAGAUUCAAGUGAAGAGAGCCCACGUUCUGCAGAGCCUAAUGAGAAUGCUAGGUUG